UAGCGGCGGACGGGUGAGUAACACGUGGGUAACCUGCCUGUAAGACUGGGAUAACUCCGGGAAACCGGGGCUAAUACCGGAUGCUUGUUUGAACCGCAUGGUUCAAACAUAAAAGGUGGCUUCGGCUACCACUUACAGAUGGACCCGCGGCGCAUUAGCUAGUUGGUGAGGUAAUGGCUCACCAAGGCAACGAUGCGUAGCCGACCUGAGAGGGUGAUCGGCCACACUGGGACUGAGAACGGCCCAGACUCCUACGGGAGGCAGCAGUAGGGAAUCUUCCGCAAUGGACGAAAGUCUGACGGAGCAACGCCGCGUGAGUGAUGAAGGUUUUCGGAUCGUAAAGCUCUGUUGUUAGGGAAGAACAAGUACCGUUCAAAUAGGGCGGUACCUUGACGGUACCUAACCAGAAAGCCAGGCUACUACGUGCCAGCAGCCGAAUACGUAGGGCAAGGUUGUCCGGAAUUAUUGGGCGUAAAGGGUCGCAGGGGUUUCUUAAGUCUGAUGUAAAGCCCCCGCUCAACCCGGGGGGGGGUCAUUGGAAACUGGGGAACUUGAGUGCAGAAGAGGAGAGUGGAAUUUCCACCUGUAGCGGUGGAAUGCGUAGAGAUGUGGGGAACACCAGGGCGAAGGCGACUCUCUGGUCUGUAAC
RNAcentral lists this ribosomal RNA (649 nucleotides) under Bacillus subtilis. RNAcentral describes it as "bacterial SSU rRNA". It matches the Rfam family "Bacterial small subunit ribosomal RNA", at positions 93 to 740 of the family's 1533-position model. Lineage: Bacteria; Bacillati; Bacillota; Bacilli; Caryophanales; Bacillaceae. The record is from RNAcentral.